RNAcentral lists this ribosomal RNA (466 nucleotides) under uncultured bacterium. RNAcentral describes it as "partial 16S ribosomal RNA". It matches the Rfam family "Bacterial small subunit ribosomal RNA", at positions 28 to 507 of the family's 1533-position model. The record is from RNAcentral.
GAUGAACGCUGGCGGCGUGCUUAACACAUGCAAGUCGAACGAUGGAGCCCAGCUUGCUGGGUGGAUUAGUGGCGAACGGGUGAGUAACACGUGAGUAACCUGCCCUUAACUCUGGGAUAAGCCUGGGAAACUGGGUCUAAUACCGGAUAGGAGCGCCUACCGCAUGGUGGGUGUUGGAAAGAUUUAUCGGUUUUGGAUGGACUCGCGGCCUAUCAGCUUGUUGGUGAGGUAAUGGCUCACCAAGGCGACGACGGGUAGCCGGCCUGAGAGGGUGACCGGCCACACUGGGACUGAGACACGGCCCAGACUCCUACGGGAGGCAGCAGUGGGGAAUAUUGCACAAUGGGCGAAAGCCUGAUGCAGCGACGCCGCGUGAGGGAUGACGGCCUUCGGGUUGUAAACCUCUUUCAGUAGGGAAGAAGCGAAAGUGACGGUACCUGCAGAAGAAGCACCGGCUAACUACGUG